GGGGGACAACAGUUGGAAACGACUGCUAAUACCGCAUAAUGUCUACGGACCAAAGGGGGCUUCGGCUCUCGCCUUUAGAUUGGCCCAAGUGGGAUUAGCUAGUUGGUGAGGUAAUGGCUCACCAAGGCGACGAUCCCUAGCUGGUUUGAGAGGAUGAUCAGCCACACUGGGACUGAGACACGGCCCAGACUCCUACGGGAGGCAGCAGUGGGGAAUAUUGCACAAUGGGCGCAAGCCUGAUGCAGCCAUGCCGCGUGUGUGAAGAAGGCCUUCGGGUUGUAAAGCACUUUCAGUCAGGAGGAAAGCGUGGUGGUUAAUACCCAUCAUGUGUGACGUUACUGACAGAAGAAGCACCGGCUAACUCCGUGCCAGCAGCCGCGGUAAUACGGAGGGUGCGAGCGUUAAUCGGAAUUACUGGGCGUAAAGCGUACGCAGGCGGUUUGUUAAGCGAGAUGUGAAAGCCCCGGGGCUCAACCUGGGAACUGCAUUUCGAACUGG
RNAcentral lists this ribosomal RNA (498 nucleotides) under Pseudoalteromonas translucida. Its description in RNAcentral is "bacterial SSU rRNA". It matches the Rfam family "Bacterial small subunit ribosomal RNA", at positions 138 to 636 of the family's 1533-position model. The record is from RNAcentral. Lineage: Bacteria; Pseudomonadati; Pseudomonadota; Gammaproteobacteria; Alteromonadales; Pseudoalteromonadaceae.